RNAcentral lists this transfer RNA (84 nucleotides) under Candidatus Yanofskybacteria bacterium RIFOXYA1_FULL_44_17. Its description in RNAcentral is "tRNA-Leu". It matches the Rfam family "tRNA". Rfam says of the family: Transfer RNA (tRNA) molecules are approximately 80 nucleotides in length. Their secondary structure includes four short double-helical elements and three loops (D, anti-codon, and T loops). The record is from RNAcentral. RNAcentral also lists the same sequence under 7 other names. Lineage: Bacteria; Candidatus Yanofskyibacteriota.
GGGCGAGUGGUGAAACUGGCAGACACGUAGCGUUCAGAGCGCUAUGGGCGCAAGCCCGUGGGAGUUCAAAUCUCCCCCCGCCCA